Molecule: ribosomal RNA, 506 nt
Filed under: uncultured bacterium
Lineage: Bacteria
Description: partial 16S ribosomal RNA
Rfam family: Bacterial small subunit ribosomal RNA
Source: RNAcentral
AGUGAACGCUGGCGGUAGGCCUAACACAUGCAAGUCGAACGGCAGCACAGGAGAGCUUGCUCUCUGGGUGGCGAGUGGCGGACGGGUGAGGAAUACAUCGGAAUCUACUUUUUCGUGGGGGAGAACGUAGGGAAACUUACGCUAAUACCGCAUACGACCUACGGGUGAAAGCAGGGGACCUUCGGGCCUGGCGCGAUUGAAUGAGCCGAUGUCGGAUUAGCUAGUUGGCGGGGUAAAGGCCAACCAAGGCGACGCUCCGUAGCUGGUCUGAGAGGAUGAUCAGCCACACUGGAACUGAGACACGGUCCAGACUCCUACGGGAGGCAGCAGUGGGGAAUAUUGGACAAUGGGCGCAAGCCUGAUCCAGCCAUACCGCGUGGGUGAAGAAGGCCUUCGGGUUGUAAAGCCCUUUUGUUGGGAAAGAAAUCCAGCUGGCUAAUACCCGGUUGGGAUGACGGUACCCAAAGAAUAAGCACCGGCUAACUUCGUGCCAGCAGCCGCCGUAA